Molecule: ribosomal RNA, 265 nt
Filed under: uncultured bacterium
Lineage: Bacteria
Description: partial 16S ribosomal RNA
Rfam family: Bacterial small subunit ribosomal RNA
Source: RNAcentral
GUCCAUGCCGUAAACGUUGGGAACUAGGUGUGGGUCUCAUUCCACGAGAUCCGUGCCGCAGCUAACGCAUUAAGUUCCCCGCCUGGGGAGUACGGCCGCAAGGCUAAAACUCAAAGGAAUUGACGGGGGCCCGCACAAGCGGCGGAGCAUGCGGAUUAAUUCGAUGCAACGCGAAGAACCUUUACCAAGGCUUGACAUAUGCGAGAACGCUGCAGAGAUGCAGAACUCUUUGGACACUCGCAUACAGGUGGUGCAUGGUUGUCGU